RNAcentral lists this ribosomal RNA (714 nucleotides) under Liparis mucosus (slimy snailfish). Its description in RNAcentral is "partial 12S ribosomal RNA". It matches the Rfam family "Bacterial small subunit ribosomal RNA", at positions 66 to 1345 of the family's 1533-position model. The record is from RNAcentral. Lineage: Eukaryota; Metazoa; Chordata; Actinopteri; Perciformes; Liparidae.
UGCCCUACAGUUCCCUGUCCGGGAACAAGGAGCAGGUAUCAGGCUCAUUUAUAAAGCCCACAACACCUUGCUCAGCCACACCCUCAAGGGAUCUCAGCAGUGAUAAACAUUAAGCCAUAAGUGAAAACUUGACUUAGUUAAAGCUAAAAGGGCCGGUAAAACUCGUGCCAGCCACCGCGGUUAUACGAGAGGCCCAAGUUGAAAGACACCGGCGUAAAGCGUGGUUAAGUUAAAAUUUAAACUAAAGUUAAACAUCUUCAAGACUGUUAUACGUACCCGAAGACAGGAGCCCCAAUCACGAAAGUAACUUUAUAUAAGCUGACUCCACGAAAGCUAUAGCACAAACUGGGAUUAGAUACCCCACUAUGCCUAGCCAUAAACAUUGAUAGCACAACACCCCGCUAUCCGCCAGGGAACUACGAGCAACAGCUUAAAACCCAAAGGACUUGGCGGUGCUUUAGACCCACCUAGAGGAGCCUGUUCUAGAACCGAUACCCCCCGUUCAACCUCACCCUUUCUUGUUUUUACCGCCUAUAUACCGCCGUCGUCAGCUUACCCUGUGAAGGACAAAUAGUAAGCUAAGCUGGCAUAGCCUAACACGUCAGGUCGAGGUGUAGCGUAUGAGAGGGGAAGAAAUGGGCUACAUUCACUAUUUUAGUGAAUACGAAAAGUAUACUGAAACGUAUAUUAGAAGGAGGAUUUAGCAGUAAGUGG